CAGUCGUACCUGUGGGUAAUCAGCCUUUUGGGCAUGAUUCUGUGGAGCGUGAGGAGUUAAACGCCUUCAUGCCUGCAUAUUCGUGUACUUUGGGUGUACUUGCCUGUGUGGUUAGUUAACAUCAAUUUUGGUUAUCAUAAAAUGGUUGGAGGAAUGUACCUUCCAUUUCUAUUGAAGUGUUAUAGCCUUCGGCAGAUGUGAUGAUCGGGAUUGAGGAUUGCAACGGAUACCCUUCGGGGCUACCUGUCUGGUCUCUGAUCGUUGCUUUGGUGCCGAAAGCGUGCUUACGGUUAUCAAAGUCGAUGGUCAAUAUGUUAGAACGGGUUAAA
RNAcentral lists this ribosomal RNA (329 nucleotides) under uncultured Glomeromycotina. RNAcentral describes it as "eukaryotic LSU rRNA". The record is from RNAcentral. Lineage: Eukaryota; Fungi; Glomeromycota.